GGGCAUGUGGCGUCGCCCCCUUAGCAUGGGGGAGGUCUCCGGUUCGAUUCCGGACUCGUCCA
Molecule: transfer RNA, 62 nt
Filed under: Saccharomyces cerevisiae (brewer's yeast)
Lineage: Eukaryota; Fungi; Ascomycota; Saccharomycetes; Saccharomycetales; Saccharomycetaceae
Source: RNAcentral